UACGGGGGGGGCAAGCGUUGUUCGGAAUUACUGGGCGUAAAGGGCUCGUAGGCGGCCAACUAAGUCAGACGUGAAAUCCCUCGGCUUAACCGGGGAACUGCGUCUGAUACUGGAUGGCUUGAAUCCGGGAGAGGGAUGCGGAAUUCCAGGUGUAGCGGUGAAAUGCGUAGAUAUCUGGAGGAACACCGGUGGCGAAGGCGGCAUCCUGGACCGGCAUUGACGCUGAGGAGCGAAAGCAUGGGGAGCGAACAGG
RNAcentral lists this ribosomal RNA (253 nucleotides) under uncultured bacterium. RNAcentral's name for it is "partial 16S ribosomal RNA". It matches the Rfam family "Bacterial small subunit ribosomal RNA", at positions 524 to 776 of the family's 1533-position model. The record is from RNAcentral.